AAGAUCAUCCCCACGCUGCCCUCGGACAAGCUCAGCAAGAUCCAGACGCUCAAGUUGGCCGCUCGCUACAUCGACUUCCUGUGCCAGGUGCUGCAGAGCGACGAGCUGGACCACAAGGUCGCCACCAGCUGCAACUUCCUGGCCCACGAGAGGCUCAGCUACGCCUUCUCCGUGUGGAGGAUGGAGGGCGCCUGGUCCAUGUCGGCGUCGCACUGAGCCGGGUCUCCGCCUCGAUGGAAGCAGCUCCAGCACCCAAAACCCCACCAGAACCUCCCUGGAGAGAGGAGGGAAGGACCCCAAACCCCUGACAGCCCCAGGGACCCCAAAAACUUUAGGGAUGAGCCCGAGGGAGCCGCAGCAGGAGCUGCUUUGGGUCGGUUCGGACGCUGCUGGAGGAACUCGGGGCUGUGAUUUAUUGUGGGCUCGCAGGUAAGGAACCAUCCCCAGAUCCCAAUUUCCUCCUGUGGGACUGCCAGAGAGCUGAGCCCUUCCCAGAGCAGGACAAUUCCUCCAGGAUGAGGGGAAGGGGAAGGGCUGGAGCCCCCCAAGGACCUCAGGGGUCCCCCCACUUUCAUCCCACUCCGAAGGCUCCGCGCCGGGACGAUUCCAUGGACUGUGUUCCCAUGGACUGUAUUGUGUUCCCAUGGAUUGUGAGGAUCCAGGGGGAUUUGGGGGCUGCUGACCCCCCAGGCACCCCCAGCCACUCCUGCCCCACGGAUUGGCCUCACCAAUGCCCCAAUUCCUGGAUUGGAACCUCCCAAUUCCUCAGGAUUUAUCAGGAAUCGAGGUUGGAUACAGAGCUGUCGGGAAUUUUUGGAUUUUGGGGCCAUUUGGGAACUCUGAGCAGGUUUGGGCUCUUUUGGGGGUGUGGGGAAAGGACAAUGGAGGUCUUGGCGUGCCCAAAUCGACCCCAAUAAAGCCCAGGGGGAAUUUCCAGGGUUCA
Molecule: long non-coding RNA, 943 nt
Filed under: Zonotrichia albicollis (white-throated sparrow)
Lineage: Eukaryota; Metazoa; Chordata; Aves; Passeriformes; Passerellidae
Description: lncRNA (ENSZALG00000000514.1)
Source: RNAcentral